UACAGAGGUCUCAAGCGUUGUUCGGAUUCAUUGGGCGUAAAGGGUGCGUAGGCGGCGCGGUAAGUCGGGUGUGAAAUCUCGGGGCUUAACUCCGAAACUGCAUUCGACACUGCCGUGCUUGAGGACUGGAGAGGAGACUGGAAUUUACGGUGUAGCGGUGAAAUGCGUAGAUAUCGUAAGGAAGACCAGUGGCGAAGGCGGGUCUCUGGGCCGAUACUGACGCUGAGGAGCGAAAGCGUGGGGAGCGAACAGG
This 253-nucleotide ribosomal RNA is filed under the name uncultured bacterium. Its description in RNAcentral is "partial 16S ribosomal RNA". It matches the Rfam family "Bacterial small subunit ribosomal RNA", at positions 524 to 776 of the family's 1533-position model. The record is from RNAcentral.